GGGGGGUUAGCUCAGCUGGGAGAGCACCUGCCUUGCACGCAGGGGGUCAAGGGUUCGAGUCCCUUACUCUCCACCA
This 76-nucleotide transfer RNA is filed under the name Clostridiaceae bacterium. RNAcentral describes it as "tRNA-Ala". It matches the Rfam family "tRNA". From Rfam's summary of the family: Transfer RNA (tRNA) molecules are approximately 80 nucleotides in length. Lineage: Bacteria; Bacillati; Bacillota; Clostridia; Eubacteriales; Clostridiaceae. The record is from RNAcentral.